This 477-nucleotide small RNA is filed under the name Pongo abelii (Sumatran orangutan). RNAcentral describes it as "processed transcript". The record is from RNAcentral. Lineage: Eukaryota; Metazoa; Chordata; Mammalia; Primates; Hominidae.
CCUCAGAAGAGGAAAGUGGAAAGCCUUUCCAGUGUCCAAUAUGUGGUUUGGUUAUUAAAAGGAAGAGUUACUGGAAGCGGCACAUGGUGAUUCACACAGGUUUAAAAAGUCAUCAGUGUCCGCUCUGUCCAUUCCGGUGUGCUCGCAAGGACAAUCUCAAAUCCCACAUGAAGGUUCAUCAGCACCAGGAUCGGGGAGAGACCUUUCAGUGCCAGCUGUGCCCUUUUACUUCCUCACGCCACUUCAGCCUGAAACUCCACAUGCGUUGCCAUCAGCACUUCCUGAGGACAGAAGCCAAGCUGCAAAUCAGAAGGAGCCCAUGAAUCUUAAUUUUAAAGUGAAAGAGGAGCCUAAGGAAGGGGAGUCCCUAAGCACGACUUUGCCUCGGUCCAGCUAUGUGUUCAGCCCGGAAUCUGAAGCGUCAGCCCCAGGCGUCUCUGAGGAGGCACUAAAGCCCCAGGAAGGGAAGGGAAGUGU